This 441-nucleotide ribosomal RNA is filed under the name uncultured bacterium. RNAcentral describes it as "SSU rRNA". It matches the Rfam family "Bacterial small subunit ribosomal RNA", at positions 26 to 518 of the family's 1533-position model. The record is from RNAcentral.
AGAACGAACGCUGGCGGCAGGCUUAACACAUGCAAGUCGAGCGCCCCGCAAGGGGAGCGGCAGACGGGUGAGUAACGCGUGGGAACAUACCCUCCGGUUCGGAAUAACUCAGGGAAACUUGAGCUAAUACCGGAUACGGUCGAGAGGCGAAAGAUUUAUCGCCGGAGGAUUGGCCCGCGUCCGAUUAGCUAGUUGGUGUGGUAAUGGCGCACCAAGGCGACGAUCGGUAGCUGGUCUGAGAGGAUGAUCAGCCACAUUGGGACUGAGACACGGCCCAAACUCCUACGGGAGGCAGCAGUGGGAAUAUUGGACAAUGGGCGAAAGCCUGAUCCAGCCAUGCCGCGUGAGUGAUGAAGGCCUUAGGGUUGUAAAGCUCUUUCGCCCACGACGAUAAUGACGGUAGUGGGAGAAGAAGCCCGGCUAACUCGUGCCAGCAGCCGC